UAAUUACACAUGAAAACAUCAUGCACAUGGUAUAAAAUCUGUUAAGCAGUUGGAUGUUACCUUUAAUCCCCACCUGGCUUUCAGGGACUGCUGGCAAGCUGAAGUAACCUACACUGGGGGUUUGAGAUGUAACCUCCACAGGAAUUUGAAGGUCCCAUCUGUAUCAAGAGAGAUCUCCACUUCAGUGGUCUGAAAUCAGCUCCUGUGACAGAGCACACUGUGACAGAAGUGCAACCAUGGGACAACAGCCAGAAGAAGGGAAGUUUCCAUGGAAUCUCAUCCCUUUCUCUUGGUCUUCACAGGCUGCAGGAUUCCAUCUUUGGAUUCCACCAGGAAAUGUAUGCACCGUUCCUGCUUAAGGCACUGUUAAACAGUGAGCUAUUUACUGCAUUGAUUUAGCCAGGGAGGAAUGGCAAAAGGAUUUAGCAGAAGCAGCUGUUAAU
Long non-coding RNA from Pogoniulus pusillus (Red-fronted tinkerbird), 443 nucleotides. RefSeq lists it as uncharacterized. NCBI's taxonomy places the organism in Eukaryota, Metazoa, Chordata, Aves, Piciformes, Lybiidae. The transcript has 3 exons. The record is from RefSeq and is a predicted model, not a curated record.